CAGAUCUCCUCACUCCAGAAAAAAAAACUUUCUUAUCAAAGAUAUGCACACAGUUAAGUCACUGUUAGUACUGAAUGACCUGAACAAGAAAACAACCUGUGAGACAUGUAGUAAGGGUAUCACUACCUGUUUGUAGUUUCUCUGAUUGUGAGCAGCCAGGUUGUGGAUUAAAAGGGACCUGUCAUGCACCAAACUACCUAUCUAUCUAUACAUUGUGCCAGCCAGGCCUGGACUAGUCUUCGGGCAAACCUGGCAAAUGCCUGGUUUGCCGCAAUGGCCAUUGCUCGAGGAUUGCAGUGGAGCUCAGAGGAUCUCCCGUGACGGCCC
Pelobates cultripes (western spadefoot toad) is the source of this 327-nucleotide non-coding RNA. The record is from the annotation of a GenBank genome assembly. Lineage: Eukaryota; Metazoa; Chordata; Amphibia; Anura; Pelobatidae.